UAACCUGCCUUAUAGUGGGGGAUAGCCUUUCGAAAGGAAGAUUAAUACCGCAUAAGAUUGUAGUAUCGCAUGAUAUAGCAAUUAAAGGAGCAAUUCGCUAUAAGAUGGACCCGCGUCGCAUUAGCUAGUUGGUGAGGUAAUGGCUCACCAAGGCGACGAUCCCUAGCUGGUCUGAGAGGAUGACCAGCCACACUGGAACUGAGACACGGUCCAGACUCCUACGGGAGGCAGCAUG
Molecule: ribosomal RNA, 235 nt
Filed under: uncultured bacterium
Lineage: Bacteria
Description: partial 16S ribosomal RNA
Rfam family: Bacterial small subunit ribosomal RNA
Source: RNAcentral